CCAAAAAUCUAGCCCACAUAACCUAUACCACCACGUAUUAAUUAAUAAAAUAUUUUUACGCCCAAGUAAAGAUGAUUGAAAAAGCUAUAAGAGCAAUAGACAUUGUACCGCAAGGGAGAGAUGAAAUAAAUUAAAUACUUAAGCCCAAAAUAGUAGAGAUUUACCCUCGUACCUUUUGCAUCAUGAUUUAACUAGUUUAUUCAAGCAUAAAGACUUAAAGUUUGAACCCCCGAAACUGAGUGAGCUACUUCAUAGCAGCUUAAUGAGCGAACCCAUCUCUGUUGCAAAAGAGUGGGAAGACUAUCAAGUAGAAGUGAUAAACCUAACGAACUUAGUGAUAGCUGGUUUCUCAGGAAGAGAAUCUUAGUUCACCCUAAAGACACCAUAAUAUAUGUAAAUAGCACCUCGACUUUAGAGCAAUUCAAACAAGGUACAGCCUGUUUGAAAAAGGACACAACCUACAAUUGCGGGUAAUAAUUAUUUUUAAUACCAAGUGGGCCUAAAAGCAGCCAUCUUAGAGAAAUGCGUCAAAGCUUUAUAUAACCUCCACACACAAACUCCUAUAGACCCCCCCCCCUACUGAGAACUUCUAUGCCAACAUAGAAAAUUUUAUGUUAAAACUAGUAACAAGAAAAAAUUCUCUACCAAUAUAAGUGUAAGCCAAAAUGGACCAUCCACCGGCACUUAUUCAGCCAUGAAAGAUAAUAGUAACUUUUACAAGAAAACUCUAUUUUUUACCCUGUUAAUCUUAUACAAGAUUAUUCCAAGAAAGAUUAAAAUGAAAAGAAGGAACUCGGCAAACGAAGAUCCCGCCUGUUUACCAAAAACAUCGCCUCUUGCCACAUAUAAGAGGUCUAGCCUGCCCAGUGACUAAAAUUCAACGGCCGCGGUAUCCUGACCGCGCGAAGGUAGCGUAAUCACUUGUUUUUUAAAUAAAGACUAGUAUGAAUGGCACCACGAGGAUCAAACUGUCUCCUUUACAUAAUCAGUGAAACUAAUCUCCCCGUGAAAAAGCAGGGAUUAAACUACAAGACGAAAAGACCCUAUGGAGCUUUAAAUACGUAACUAUGCCUUUCCUCCCCCGCACUAGUUAUAAGUUUUAGGUUGGGGUGACCGCGGAGAAAAACAUAUCCUCCAUAAUGAAUAAGUUUACUUUAAACAAAAAGUCACAACUUCAUGUAUCAACAAAUUGACAUACUGAUCCAAUAAUCUGAUCAACGAACCAAGUUACCCUAGGGAUAACAGCGCAAUCCACUUUAAGAGUUCAUAUCGACAAGUGGGCUUACGACCUCGAUGUUGGAUCAGGGUAUCCCAGUGGUGCAGCCGCUACUAAAGGU
This 1337-nucleotide ribosomal RNA is filed under the name Brachycephalus pombali. Its description in RNAcentral is "partial 16S ribosomal RNA". It matches the Rfam family "Bacterial large subunit ribosomal RNA", at positions 378 to 2572 of the family's 2925-position model. Lineage: Eukaryota; Metazoa; Chordata; Amphibia; Anura; Brachycephalidae. The record is from RNAcentral.